Molecule: long non-coding RNA, 666 nt
Filed under: Panax ginseng (ginseng)
Lineage: Eukaryota; Viridiplantae; Streptophyta; Magnoliopsida; Apiales; Araliaceae
Description: long non-coding RNA (PGIN_LNC000735)
Source: RNAcentral
UUUAGAGUAGAAAAUAUAUAUUACUUCAUUUAUGUAUAUCUUCAUUCCCAAGAUAUGAUGCUUUAUAGAAAUACUAGUACAAGAUUCUAGAUGAUUCAUCACCACCAUCGUCUUGCAUAUUAGCUAAACAAUAUCAGGCUUUAGAUGGGAAAACUGAUAUACUACUAGUACUACUAAUAAUACCAAAACUACCCUAUGAACUUGUUGCUUUCUUUCUUGCCCCUGAUGUAACCUUGCAACCACAUAGGUUCCUUAGUUUGUCUUCUUGACUUCCUCAUCUUAUUGAGUGUGUAUAAGUCGUCUAACUCGGCUUCUUCUUGAUCCACCCGCUCAGCUAUCUCCUUUUCCUUUAGUUCCUCUUGGUCAGCCUUGUUGUUUACUUCAUUUCCCGUUUCUGUUGCUUUCAUAUCAGUUAGUUCCUCAUGUUCUAACUCAUUGUUAGUUUCUAUGAUUUCUUUUUCAUUUUACUGGGUAGGAGGAAUGGUCUUGGUGUUUGUAUCAACUGACUACUAGUACUGCAAGACUUAACGUCAGUCACACGUCGAUACUGUCUUUGGCCCUUGACGUAAUUCUUCUAAACCACCGCUGCCUUCUUCCACAACUCCUGAUCUGUAGUAGGGCGCUGACUGUUAGGGGGAUAUCUCUAAUCCAGCAAGCGUUUAUAAG